CUAAUAUGGAUAUUUUAGGAUGUCACUGUCAUUGGGCUCUGUCCAAGUGAUAGAGAGGCCUAUGCCCCAUGAGAUCCAUAGUUCUUUCCACAAUGUUGGAAAAGGGGCUGGGCCUUGAAUCUGUGCCUGUAUAUUCUUACAACUCCUCCAAACCCUGUAGGUGUGUCUCCCUGACUGAGCAAACAAUUCAUGCAGGACAGCA
Molecule: small nucleolar RNA, 202 nt
Filed under: Dipodomys ordii (Ord's kangaroo rat)
Lineage: Eukaryota; Metazoa; Chordata; Mammalia; Rodentia; Heteromyidae
Description: Small nucleolar RNA SNORA73 family (ENSDORG00000023053.2)
Source: RNAcentral